Molecule: non-coding RNA, 84 nt
Organism: Colletotrichum higginsianum
Lineage: Eukaryota; Fungi; Ascomycota; Sordariomycetes; Glomerellales; Glomerellaceae
Source: Rfam
GGCCCUCUGGCGCAACGGUAGCGCGUUCGACUCCAGUUCUGGAAUGYMAUCGAAAGGUUAUCCGUUCAAAUCGGGUGGGGGUCA